Molecule: ribosomal RNA, 253 nt
Filed under: uncultured bacterium
Lineage: Bacteria
Description: partial 16S ribosomal RNA
Rfam family: Bacterial small subunit ribosomal RNA
Source: RNAcentral
UACGUAGGUGGCAAGCGUUGUCCGGAUUUACUGGGCGUAAAGAGCGCGCAGGCGGUCGUACAAGUCGCGUGUGAAAGCCCCCGGCUCAACUGGGGAGGGUCACGCGAUACUGUUCGACUCGAAGGCAGGAGAGGGAAGCAGAAUUCCCGGUGUAGUGGUGAAAUGCGUAGAUAUCGGGAGGAAUACCAGUGGCGAAGGCGGCUUCCUGGCCUGUUCUUGACGCUGAGGCGCGAAAGCGUGGGGAGCGAUCCGG